Molecule: ribosomal RNA, 261 nt
Filed under: Triticum aestivum (bread wheat)
Lineage: Eukaryota; Viridiplantae; Streptophyta; Magnoliopsida; Poales; Poaceae
Description: partial small subunit ribosomal RNA
Source: RNAcentral
AUGGGGCUUCUCAAGGAUAUGAGGGCUCUCCUGUUGGUGGCCAUUGUGGUGACCGCUAUGGUCAUGUCAUCAUGCCAUGCUGCACAAGAUAUUGCUGCUGAAGGGCCUUCGGGUUCAGGGGAGUGCAACCAGAUCCUGCCGUGCACGGACAAUACGUGCAAAAUCAACUGCCAGAAGCUGGGGUUCAAGAACCCCAAGACUCAAUGCAGGCCUGGGAACCCGAAGAAAGGCCAGUUCUACGACACCUGCUGCUGUUUUUAG